Molecule: ribosomal RNA, 421 nt
Filed under: uncultured bacterium
Lineage: Bacteria
Description: bacterial SSU rRNA
Rfam family: Bacterial small subunit ribosomal RNA
Source: RNAcentral
UGAGAAAUAUUGGUCAAUGGGCGCAAGCCUGAACCAGCCAUGCCGCGUGCAGGAAGAAUGCCCUAUGGGUUGUAAACUGCUUUUAUUUGGGAAUAAACCUCUUUACGUGUAGAGAGCUGAAGUUACCAAAUGAAUAAGCACCGGCUAACUCCGUGCCAGCAGCCGCGGUACUACGGAGGGUGCAAGCGUUAUCCGGAAUCAUUGGGUUUAAAGGGUCCGCAGGCGGUCUUAUAAGUCAGUGGUGAAAGCCUACCGCUCAACUGUAGAACUGCCAUUGAUACUGUAGGACUUGAAUUCAGUCGAAGAGGGCCGAAUAUGACAUGUAGCGGUGAAAUGCUUAGAUAUGUCAUAGAACACCGAUAGCGAAGGCAGCUUACUAGGCCUGGAUUGACGCUCAGGGACUAAAGCGUGGGGAUCAAAC